RNAcentral lists this small nuclear RNA (215 nucleotides) under Cricetulus griseus (Chinese hamster). Its description in RNAcentral is "7SK RNA". It matches the Rfam family "7SK RNA". From Rfam's summary of the family: 7SK was discovered as an abundant small nuclear RNA in the mid-70s but a possible function has only recently been suggested. Two independent studies have found that 7SK RNA binds the CDK9/cyclin T complex (known as elongation factor P-TEFb). P-TEFb activates transcription by phosphorylating the C-terminal domain of RNA polymerase II. The record is from Rfam by way of RNAcentral. Lineage: Eukaryota; Metazoa; Chordata; Mammalia; Rodentia; Cricetidae.
AUCAAAUGGGUUAUUCCUACCCGAAGCUGUGCACUCUGUGGAAGAAGAUGAUGUUCCCCGAAUAGAGGACUGGUCUUUGGUCAAAGGUAUCGGUAGCUGUGCUCCCCUACUAGGACCUCCAACAAUCUCUUAAUACUGUAUGGGCUAGGUGUUAGAAGAGGGGGCUUGGUUGUGGACCAGGCUGGUCACAAACUCACAGAGAUCUGCCUGCCUCU